AACGAACGCUGGCGGCAUGCUUAACACAUGCAAGUUGAACGCAGAAUAGGGCUUCGGCUCUAUUGCUGAGUAGCAAACGGGCGAGUAACGCGUGGGAAUCUACCUUCUUGUGGGGGAUAACUAAGGGAAACUUUAGCUAAUACCGCAUACGCUCUACGGAGGAAAGGCUUCGGCCGCAAGAAGAGGAGCCCGCGUCAGAUUAGGUAGUUGGUGGGGUACAAGCCUACCAAGCCAAUGAUCUGUAGCUGGUCUGAGAGGAUGGUCAGCCACACUGGGACUGAGACACGGCCCAUGCUCCUACGUGAGGCAGCAGUGGGGAAUAUUGGACCAUGGGGGAAACCCUGAUCCAGCAAUGCCGCGUGAAUGAAGAAGGCCUUGGGUUGUAAAGUUCUUUCACCUGUGAAGAUAAUGACGGUAGCAGGAGAAGAAGCCCCGGCUAACUCCGUGCCAGCCGCCGCGGUAA
RNAcentral lists this ribosomal RNA (463 nucleotides) under uncultured bacterium. RNAcentral describes it as "partial 16S ribosomal RNA". It matches the Rfam family "Bacterial small subunit ribosomal RNA", at positions 29 to 523 of the family's 1533-position model. The record is from RNAcentral.